This 384-nucleotide ribosomal RNA is filed under the name uncultured bacterium. Its description in RNAcentral is "bacterial SSU rRNA". It matches the Rfam family "Bacterial small subunit ribosomal RNA", at positions 30 to 416 of the family's 1533-position model. The record is from RNAcentral.
AUUGAACGCUGGCGGCAUGCCUUACACAUGCUAGUCGAACGGCAGCGGACCUUCGGGUGCCGGCGAGUGGCGAACGGGUGAGUAAUAUAUCGGAACGUACCUUUCAGUGGGGGAUAACGUAGCGAAAGUUACGCUAAUACCGCAUAUUCUGUGAGCAGGAAAGCAGGGGAUCGCAAGACCUUGCGCUGAUUGAGCGGCCGAUAUCAGAUUAGCUAGUUGGUGAGGUAAAGGCUCACCAAGGCGACGAUCUGUAGCGGGUCUGAGAGGAUGAUCCGCCACACUGGAACUGAGACACGGUCCAGACUCCUACGGGAGGCAGCAGUGGGGAAUUUUGGACAAUGGGCGCAAGCCUGAUCCAGCCAUUCCGCGUGAGUGAAGAAGGCC